ACGAUUCCCUCAGGACACACGAUGAUUUUUCCAGGAGUCUGUGGGCCUCAUCAAUGACCACGCAACGCCAUGGAAUGUUACGCAGCUCCGGGCAGUCAGUCAAGAUCAUCUCAAAUGUUGUGAUAAUGGCAUGGAACUUGUAGGACCCCUUUAUCACACGACCCUAAGAAGAACAGCAAGAGUUAAGAAAUCUGAGGUAAUCCUAUGCUGAUGACACGUUCAUAGCUAAAUAGCUUCUCAGCAAGGAAGAAAAUCAUGCAGGCAAGAAAAUAGUCUUAAGCCAACACCCACUGAGCCCCAAAGGAAUGAACCAGGCCAUUGAUAAAAGUGUUAUAUAGCUCAUGGACACAAACCAAUCCCUGAAGAAUUACGCUGGAAAUGCAAAUAAUUUCUCAUUUACAAUUACAUCAAGAAGUAUCAGUUAGCCAGUUUUAAAUCCACUUAAUGUGUGCCAUAUUGAUUUUAUAUCAUCCCAGUUUAUUAAUCAAAAUAUCCAGUGGCAUAAAAUCAAAUGCUUUACAGAAAAUCUAAAUGUAUGAAUUCACCACUAUCACUUCUUUUGGCUCAGCUGGAAAUAAUACUCCAUAUACAUCAAAUCAAGUUGAACUUCCAUUCUUUUUUUCUUUUAAGUGAGGAUGAUUAUGUUGCUUUACAAUAAACACUCAAUGCAUGCACAUUAUUUUUCCCUGAUUACUGAUGCUCUGGGCAAAGCCAUGCAUUUAAGUGUAAAGAUCUGUUGCUCUGAAUAGCUUCAGCUUUCAUAUAAUUAUCUGGUUUUAACCCCAAUCUUUUCUGUACCUGCUUUCCUUUUCUCAUUAGAACUAUUCAACCUGAGCACCGUAACACAGAUGCAAAAUAUAUCUGACUUGUAAAAUCUGAUACAGAAGCAUCGACAAGUUUAAUUUCUGCAAGCUGGUCUUUUCCUGGAACGGUAGCAAAAGAUUGAUUUUUAAGCUUAGUUACAAUUAAAGUAGUUUCUCCAUUAAGAAUCUUCUAUGCCAGCUUUCCUCAGCAAUGUGAAAUAAUAAAAACCUUGCAUGAAACAAUGAAACCUCAAUCAAGAGUUGCACUAUCUUGGUAACUCUUGGUCCCCCCUCUAUUUUCAGCUAAUCUCUUGGCUACUAUUAAAAAGCACUCUCUCUAUUAAUAUAAGCACUCUCUUUAUUAAUAUAUGAUUUCUUUAUUAGCUAAAACUUACUACAUAUGUUCUGAAAACCUUACUGCUACUUAGGUUAGUAAACAACAGUAAAGCCAAAAAGAAAAAUUAAGA
Long non-coding RNA from Cuculus canorus (common cuckoo), 1270 nucleotides. RefSeq lists it as uncharacterized. The record is from RefSeq and is a predicted model, not a curated record. Lineage: Eukaryota; Metazoa; Chordata; Aves; Cuculiformes; Cuculidae. The transcript has 4 exons.